GUUCGUCAAAGGGAGGAAGAUAAUAGGUGCAAUAAGAUGAUGGUAAAGUUCAGAGAAGAGAAAAUUCAAAGGAUGGAGUCACUUGUCAAUGGACUAAUCCCAGCAGAUAAUUAUUUAUUGGAGGAAAACAGUGCACUUACUGAAGAAAUUCAGUUGCUUAAUCCCAGCAGAUAGUUAUUUAUUGGAGGAAAACAGUGCACUUACUGAAGAAAUUCAGUUGCUUCAAGCUAAGGUUGAUAGAAACCCAGAAGUUACUCGAUUCGCAUGUGAAAACAUUA
This 278-nucleotide long non-coding RNA is filed under the name Nicotiana benthamiana. RNAcentral describes it as "long non-coding RNA (NBEN_LNC030011)". Lineage: Eukaryota; Viridiplantae; Streptophyta; Magnoliopsida; Solanales; Solanaceae. The record is from RNAcentral.